GACGAACGCUGGCGGCGUGCCUAACACAUGCAAGUCGAGCGAAUGAAGUUCCUUCGGGAACGGAUUUAGCGGCGGACGGGUGAGUAACACGUGGGCAACCUGCCUCAUAGAGGGGAAUAGCCUUCCGAAAGGGAGAUUAAUACCGCAUAAGAUUGUAGUACCGCAUGGUACAGCAAUCAAAGGAGCAAUCCGCUAUGAGAUGGGCCCGCGGCGCAUUAGCUAGUUGGUGAGGUAACGGCUCACCAAGGCGACGAUGCGUAGCCGACCUGAGAGGGUGAUCGGCCACAUUGGGACUGAGACACGGCCCAGACUCCUACGGGAGGCAGCAGUGGGGAAUAUUGCACAAUGGGGGAAACCCUGAUGCAGCAACGCCGCGUGAGUGAUGACGGCCUUCGGGUUGUAAAGCUCUGUCUUCAGGGACGAUAAUGACGGUACCUGAGGAGGAAGCCACGGCUAACUACGUG
RNAcentral lists this ribosomal RNA (464 nucleotides) under uncultured bacterium. RNAcentral's name for it is "partial 16S ribosomal RNA". It matches the Rfam family "Bacterial small subunit ribosomal RNA", at positions 28 to 507 of the family's 1533-position model. The record is from RNAcentral.